This 1237-nucleotide long non-coding RNA is filed under the name Sus scrofa (pig). Its description in RNAcentral is "lncRNA (ENSSSCG00040028670.1)". Lineage: Eukaryota; Metazoa; Chordata; Mammalia; Artiodactyla; Suidae. The record is from RNAcentral.
AAAAACCCCUCUAUGAGUCGAGGAGAACGGGUGGUGGGGGAUGGGCUCUGGGGCACCGUGCAGCACCAGCACAUAGUAGGUGCUCAUCCAACAUCUGCUGAAUUGGUUCCUAGGCUCCCCGUCAGUGGCCCAGAAGUCAGAACUGCCCCCCCGCGCCUCCAACCCCACUCGAUCUCGCUCCCACGAGCCCGAAGCUGCCCACAUCACGCACCGGAAGCCCCCAGGCGCGGACCCCAGCUCCUUCCACUUUCUCGAUGCCCCCUUCGCCAAGGUCUCCGAGGUCCAGCAGCGGCUCCGGGGUGGCACCCAGGACGGGAGCAAGCACUUUGUGAGGUCCCCCAAGGCCCAGGGCAAGAGCUCUCUUCCAGGAGAGCACCCUUGCCUGGCCUGGCUUCCAGAGACCCUCCAAAUCUCCGAGAAGAUAAACAGCUGCUACCUCUUAGUAUGAUUCUGAUUUUAUUGUGCCCUUCACUGACGGUAACGUGCUACAAGGGAUUUCAGCGGACUGCAGAUGGCGCGACUUCCCCGGCUGUGGUGUUUUCAAUGUCCCAACCUAGAAACCUUAGCUAUCCUUUCUGGAAGUACCUUUCACGCCUUUCCAGCGGACUCGCGUCCCUGCCCCCAAACCAGUCCCGCCUUUUCGGCCGCACACCAAGAAAAUACAUUUCUCUUUUCUCCUCUCGUCCUCCUCUCUUCUUUAGAAAGCUACACACGCAUAUUGAAAGACUGCCCUUGGAACCAGCUUUCUCGUCUUGGUAACCUCUGCCGAGGGAACCAACCACGUAAACAAGCAUGGGGUUCCGAGAUCGGGCAGUUGUGUGGUGUUGGUUGUGACGGAAGAUGUGGAAACCUCGGGUCCUACCAUUGGCAAAUAUAUACCUACCUAUGUGCUUCUCUACCAGAGCUUCCUGUAUCUGUAGAUAGAUGCUGUCUGUCCAUUUCUAUGUAUCUUUCUAUAAAUAUACACUCUCAGGUAACUUUUCUGGUGUGCAGAAAUCGGUGCUUUGCUUCUCAAGACACAUCCAGAGCCCAGAUGUGACCCUGUGUGCCUCUCGUUGAGACUGCUGUCAGUUACCUGCUGUUAGCCACUUGCCUCUCACUGGGGAUCCUUUCUGGGGUUUGGGACCUGGCAGAUUUUGGAGAGGCCUGUUGGAGUACAGAAAGUUUAGAGGGAGAGUUCCCAUUGUGGCUCGGUAGGUUAAGAACACGACUGGUCCAUAUGAGGAUGCAGGUUCAA